RNAcentral lists this unclassified non-coding RNA (248 nucleotides) under Melitaea cinxia (Glanville fritillary). RNAcentral's name for it is "misc RNA ENSMCXG00005011922.1". Lineage: Eukaryota; Metazoa; Arthropoda; Insecta; Lepidoptera; Nymphalidae. The record is from RNAcentral.
AUAUUGCCAGGUAAACUUUGCCAUGAUGGUUCUGCUGUCACGCACGGGAGCGCUACCUUGCUAUUCAGUUGGCGGGCAAUUAUUUAACGGCAAGUUCGACCCCAUAAAAUGUGGUGGAGCGGCAAUUCAAAGGUUUUUAAGGGCCGCUUGUUUCAUUUUUGUAAUGUGAGGGAAAUUACGUUUAAUGGCCAGUGAGUUUUCAGCACUAGUUAAGAAGAUCUGACAAAGAGUUUGUCCUUUAAAAUUGA